CCUACGGGAGGCAGCAGUGGGGAAUAUUGGGCAAUGGGCGCAAGCCUGACCCAGCAACGCCGCGUGAAGGAAGAAGGCUUUCGGGUUGUAAACUUCUUUUCUCAGGGACGAAGAAAGUGACGGUACCUGAGUAAUAAGCCACGGCUAACUACGUGCCAGCAGCCGCGGUAAUACGUAGGUGGCAAGCGUGAUCCGGAUUUAUUGGGUGUAAAGGGCGUGUAGGCGGGAGGGCAAGUCAGAUGUGAAAACUCAGGGCUCAACCCUGAGCCUGCAUUUGAAACUGUGUUUCUUGAGUGCUGGAGAGGCAACAGGAAUUCCGGGUGUAGCGGUGAAAUGCGUAGAUAUACGGAGGAACACCAGUGGCGAAGGCAGAUUGCUGGACAGUAACUGACGCUGAGGCGCGAAAGCGUGGGGAGCAAACAGGAUUAGAUACCCGAGUAGUC
RNAcentral lists this ribosomal RNA (443 nucleotides) under uncultured bacterium. RNAcentral's name for it is "partial 16S ribosomal RNA". It matches the Rfam family "Bacterial small subunit ribosomal RNA", at positions 338 to 795 of the family's 1533-position model. The record is from RNAcentral.